Molecule: non-coding RNA, 25 nt
Filed under: Rattus norvegicus (Norway rat)
Lineage: Eukaryota; Metazoa; Chordata; Mammalia; Rodentia; Muridae
Source: RNAcentral
UGCUCUUAAGAGAGAUGAGCCUGGG